Molecule: ribosomal RNA, 426 nt
Filed under: uncultured bacterium
Lineage: Bacteria
Description: partial 16S ribosomal RNA
Rfam family: Bacterial small subunit ribosomal RNA
Source: RNAcentral
GUGAGGAAUUUUCCGCAAUGGGCGAAAGCCUGACGGAGCAAUGCCGCGUGAAGGAUGAAGGCCUAUGGGUUGUAAACUUCUUUUCUCAGAAAAGAAUUAUGACGGUAUCUGAGGAAUAAGCAUCGGCUAACUCUGUGCCAGCAGCCGCGGUAAGACAGAGGAUGCAAGCGUUAUCCGGAAUGAUUGGGCGUAAAGCGUCUGUAGGUUGUUUAAAAAGUAUUCUGUCAAAGAUUAGGGCUUAACCCUAGAUAGGCAGAAUAAACUUUUAAGCUAGAGUUUGGUAGAGGCAGAUGGAAUUCCCGGUGGAGCGGUGAAAUGCGUAGAUAUCUGGAGGAACACCAAAGGCGAAGGCACUCUGCUGGGCCAAUACUAACACUGAGAGACGAAAGCGAGGGGAGCAAAUGGGAUUAGAAACCCGUGUAGUCC